RNAcentral lists this ribosomal RNA (852 nucleotides) under Triticum aestivum (bread wheat). Its description in RNAcentral is "partial small subunit ribosomal RNA". Lineage: Eukaryota; Viridiplantae; Streptophyta; Magnoliopsida; Poales; Poaceae. The record is from RNAcentral.
AUGGCUCUUAAUGAACGUCUCAGCAAAUUUAAACAACAGCAGGAGAGAUGCCAGACAACUCUAUCCAGCAUUGCUGCAACCCAAGCUUCAACCACAAAGUCGCACAAUGCUCCAAGGUCUAGACCAGCAAAUGCUCCGUCAGCUCCAGCAAAACAGAUACAGGCUAUUAAAUUCUCAAAUGAUACAGAAAGGCUUCAACACAUCAAUUCAGUGAGGAAGUCUCCUGUCGGAGCACAGAUCAAAUUAGUUAUUGAACUGCUUUACAAGACAAGACUUGCUUAUACAGCAGAGCAAAUAAAUGAAGCAACAUAUGUUGCAAUUAAUAGUAACAAGGCAGUCUUUGAUAGUCUGACAAACAAUCCCAAAGUACAAUUUGAUGGGAAGCGUUUCUCUUACAAGUCCAAGCAUGAUUUGAAGGGGAAAGAUCAAUUGCUUCAUUUGAUCAGAAGGUUUCCUGAGGGUCUUCCUGUUGUGGAGGUCAAGGAUUCAUAUCCAACCGUAUUGGAUGAUCUACAGGCUCUCAAAGCCUCAGGUGACGUCUGGUGGCUGUCAAGCAUGGACUCCCAGGAAGACAUUGUGUACCCAAAUGAUCCCAAAUCGAAGAUCAAGGUCGAUGCUGACUUGAAGCAGCUUUACCGGGAGAUAGAGCUGCCACGGGACAUGAUCGACAUCGAGAAGGAGCUGCUGAAGAACGGGCACAAGCCAGCAACCGACACGACCAAGCGGCGUGCAGCGGCGCAGAUUCAUGGCCAGCGACCAAAGCCGAAGGCCAAGAAGAAGCAGAAAGAGAUCACUAAAAGGACCAAGCUCACCAACGCGCAUCUGCCUGAGCUGUUCGACCUGCCCCGUUAA